AGCGGCAAAAGCUCAAAUUUGAAAUCUGGCACUUUCAGUGUCCGAGUUGUAAUUUGAAGAAGGUAUCUUUGGGUCUGGCUCUUGUCUAUGUUUCUUGGAACAGAACGUCACAGAGGGUGAGAAUCCCGUGCGAUGAGAUGACCCAGACCUAUGUAAAGUUCCUUCGAAGAGUCGAGUUGUUUGGGAAUGCAGCUCUAAGUGGGUGGUAAAUUCCAUCUAAAGCUAAAUAUUGGCGAGAGACCGAUAGCGAACAAGUACAGUGAUGGAAAGAUGAAAAGAACUUUGAAAAGAGAGUGAAAAAGUACGUGAAAUUGUUGAAAGGGAAGGGCUUGAGAUCAGACUUGGUAUUUUGUAUGUUACUCUUUCGGGGGUGGCCUCUACAGUUUACCGGGCCAGCAUCAGUUUGGGCGGUAGGAGAAUUGCAAAGAAAUGUGGCACUGCUUCGGUAGUGUGUUAUAGUCUUUGUCGAUACUGCCAGCCUAGACUGAGGACUGCGGCUUCGGCCUAGGAUGUUGGCAUAAUGAUCUUAAGUCGCCCGUCUUGA
RNAcentral lists this ribosomal RNA (544 nucleotides) under Lodderomyces metapsilosis. RNAcentral describes it as "Candida metapsilosis partial large subunit ribosomal RNA". It matches the Rfam family "Eukaryotic large subunit ribosomal RNA", at positions 97 to 657 of the family's 3401-position model. Lineage: Eukaryota; Fungi; Ascomycota; Pichiomycetes; Serinales; Debaryomycetaceae. The record is from RNAcentral.